AGCGGAGUAGAGCAGUUGGCAGCUCGCGUGGCUCAUAACCACGAGGUCGUUGGUUCGAGUCCAGCCUCCGCUACCA
RNAcentral lists this transfer RNA (76 nucleotides) under Agitococcus sp. Its description in RNAcentral is "tRNA-Met". It matches the Rfam family "tRNA". Rfam says of the family: Transfer RNA (tRNA) molecules are approximately 80 nucleotides in length. Their secondary structure includes four short double-helical elements and three loops (D, anti-codon, and T loops). The record is from RNAcentral. Lineage: Bacteria; Pseudomonadati; Pseudomonadota; Gammaproteobacteria; Moraxellales; Moraxellaceae.